Non-coding RNA from Chiloscyllium plagiosum (whitespotted bambooshark), 2733 nucleotides. Lineage: Eukaryota; Metazoa; Chordata; Chondrichthyes; Orectolobiformes; Hemiscylliidae. The record is from RefSeq and is a predicted model, not a curated record.
AUUUGUUGCAAAUAGACAUUGAAAUAAAGGACAGUAGAAACAAGUGUAAUAAUCCUGUGAAGGGUAAAUAUAGCAGGCACCGGGAACGUCUCAAAGUAUGUGAAAUCGGGCCCAGUGUUCGUCUUUCAACAGGUGGUGUAUUGGGAGUUGGAUAUUGAACUGCGUAAUCAUUACAUUUGUGGAGCUGUGCAUAUUUUGGCAAAUAUUUGAUGGACCAAUCCGAGAGCGACCAGCUGCUUCUCACAAUCAGCAGGUGAACUUCUUGGUCAAGCCUGAUCUCCAGAGGAUGCUUCCAGAGAGGAUGCUUCAAGCUCAUUCACACAUGUGCAUACACAUCUGUCUCUGUCUGCCUGUCUCUCAGUCUGGUGUUGAUGAAAAUACACUUUAUCCACACUCCCAUUCUUGUUGAGGGCCUGAGUAAUGCAGAAGCAUUUCCACAGUUUUUAAAUGUGUGAAACACUGAUUGAUAAGACUUUAAACCCAUCUCAAAAUGGAUCAGAUCAUGACAUGCAGGACUGGAAACACCAGGAGACAUACAGACAAUGUCAGUGUGAUAUAGACCAGUACUACUCUUCAAAGUGAUACAGAUUGGCAGAACAACAGAAAACUCACUCACAUGCAGCCAGUUAAUGGUUAAAAGGGAUAAAAAUGCAAUUUAGGCCCACAACUACUUCCAGAUAUGGACAGUCAUAAAUUGACUGACCAAAUUAUUAAAUGCUUCAGAAGACGUUAGUUUUAGAUGUUACUUUAUUGCGGUGCCCAGCAGCAACUGCCAAAGACUAGUGCAUACACAAAAUGUAAAAUCAAAACUGAUUCAAAGAUAAGUAUUGAACCAACAUUAAUCCCUCAAUCACCAGAUUUAGCGAACAUUGGACUGGUUUAUCCUACACCCUGACUGAAAAAACACAACUGAACAUAGAAAGAGAAUAGCAUACAAAUAUUCGACUUGUCACUGCACACAGAGCAAAACUGGUACUAUAGGUAUUCAAAGGCUGAUAACUGCAGAACUAAUCUCAAAUUGCCAUUUACACCGAGACACUGAUAGUGAGUGGAUGAAGUUCAGAAUCCCAAACAGUUAAUGGAAACUAGUAUGGAGAACAGAUGAAGAAUAGACACAACACGCUGAAUGGCUGUACCAAUUCUGUGAUUGAGUCAUAAAUCACAAAAUGCCUAAGAGUUUAAGGCACAAUCACAACACCUUAAGACCUGCUAUCACAGAUUGGAUCACAGUCACAGAGAACUUUUUUUUUCCCGAAUUCAGUCAUGGGAUGGGGGCAUCAGUGGCUCGGCCAGCAUUUAUUGCCCAACCCUAACUACCCAUGCAGUACUUAGGAGUCGACCACAUUGAUGUGUGUCUGCAGUCACAUGUAGGCCAGACAAGGUAAGGAUGGCAGUUUCCUUCCUUCAAGCGCAUUCGUGAAUCAGAUGAAUUUUUCUGGUAAUCAACAAUAGAUUCUAGAAUAUUAUUGGUUGCCAGAGAAUUGAGCAAAUUUGAUAUAAGAGUUGAAAGUGACUGGAACUCAUUGAGAACUUCACUCUCAGUGACACAGCAGAAACUGGCAUGUAUAGAUCAAUUCCUAAAUUCACACAUGGACACAGCAGAAAUUGACAUUUAUACAUCAAGUCCUAAACUCUCGUAUGGACACAACCAAAACUGACAGACAUCGAUUGAUAUCUGCUCUCAUGUAUUCACAUUGCAGAAACUGAAAGGGAGAGAACAAUAAUCAUGCACACACACAUGACAGGUACAGGUUAAUAACGAGACUAACAGAUUUGCACAGCAAAACCUGACAGGUACAGGAUGAUAAAUGAAUUUGCAUAUUUAUAAAUAAGAAGCUGAUGGAUACAGUUUAUUAACUGCACUCUCAGAUGCACAGAGCAGAAUCUGACAGGGACAGGUUGGUAAAUAACUCACAUGCAGGUGGCAGUAAAUUUCAGAGAAAGAUUGAUAACUACAUUCUCAUAUUCACAAAGCAGAAACUGACAGGAAUAGAUUGAUUAUGCUCCCAAUUUCAAGUCACAUAAGUUGAUGUGUACACUUUGAUAACUAUAUUCACAGAGAAGAAACUCCCAGCGAGAGAUUGAUUACAAAACAAAAAUUGGUGGAAAAUUCACAGGUCUGGCAGCAUUUCAGGUCCAGUGACUGGUCCUCAGAACUGGCAGUGGCAAGGAAAAUGCACACAAUGUGGUCUCCUCUAUGUUGGAGAAACUGAACGCAGAACGGGUGUCCACUUUUCAGAACGCCUACAUUCUAUCCAGACAAAAAGACCCUGAGCUUCCUGUUGCAUGUCACUUCAACACACCACCCUGUACCCUGGCCAACAUCUCGGUCUCAGGCUUGCUGUAGUGCUCUAGUGAAGCUCAGUACACGCUUGAAGAACAGCACCUUAUUUGUUGCUUGGGAACUCGAUAGUCUUCUGGACUCAGUAUUGUGUUCUACAACUUUAAGACUUGAGCUCUCCAUGUCAUUACCCAAAACCCCACACCCCUUGUUAACACACAGUCUGCUGCUGUACAUCACCAAUUGUGAGCCACUAACAGACCUUAUUAAAUAGCUAUCCACCCUCUUAGUCUGACAGUUAUCCACUCAUUUGUCUGUCCUAGUGUUCUUCUCUUUCUUUGGAUUCUAUCUCCAUCUGUCUUUUUCUCGGCACACUUCCACCCACCCUAUCUUUUGUAUAUAAAGUAAUAUUUUCCUAGCUACCACCAGAAAAUAAAGAAGUUUGAAUACAC